This 495-nucleotide ribosomal RNA is filed under the name uncultured bacterium. Its description in RNAcentral is "partial 16S ribosomal RNA". It matches the Rfam family "Bacterial small subunit ribosomal RNA", at positions 28 to 507 of the family's 1533-position model. The record is from RNAcentral.
GACGAACGCUGGCGGCGUGCCUAAUACAUGCAAGUAGAACGCUGAAGGAGGAGCUUGCUCUUCUGGAUGAGUUGCGAACGGGUGAGUAACGCGUAGGUAACCUGCCUGGUAGCGGGGGAUAACUAUUGGAAACGAUAGCUAAUACCGCAUAACAGUAGAUGUUGCAUGACAUUUACUUAAAAGGUGCAAUUGCCUCACUACCAGAUGGACCUGCGUUGUAUUAGCUAGUUGGUGGGGUAACGGCUCACCAAGGCGACGAUACAUAGCCGACCUGAGAGGGUGAUCGGCCACACUGGGACUGAGACACGGCCCAGACUCCUACGGGAGGCAGCAGUAGGGAAUCUUCGGCAAUGGACGGAAGUCUGACCGAGCAACGCCGCGUGAGUGAAGAAGGUUUUCGGAUCGUAAAGCUCUGUUGUAAGAGAAGAACGAGUGUGAGAGUGGAAAGUUCACACUGUGACGGUAUCUUACCAGAAAGGGACGGCUAACUACGUG